GGAUGUUUCAAGAGGUAAGGCCAUUGGCUAUACCAACUGUACCAUUGCAGGUGAGUUAGGAGAGCACCAGAAUAGGAGAAUAGCCAUAGCUACAUUAAUGACAGUUGUGUAACGGUUGAUCUGCAUGAUAGAAUGCCCAAGGGUGGAACAACCCAGCAUUUCUCUCUGUCAGUUAUUCCUCUGAGGCCUCCGUUCAGCGCAUAACGAUUGCCAUGUCAAAAAUACUGUGGCUGCAGGCCUGUGCUGAGAGCCCCGAUCAGCCUGUUCUGGUCGGUCCAUAGCCCCUGUUGGAACCUGAAGCCACAUUGCCAACUGCCCACCUCGGGAUGUGUCGGUGAUUCGAAUAGGGUACCUCCAGGUCAGAAGAUCCAGGUGCUUUGGCCUCAUUUCUGCACUGGGUGUCUCUCUCCGAGAUUGUGUCCAGCUGCUCCCAUAUCUCUUGAUGGUCGUCAGGUAGACCUGCUGUGAUCCUUGCAGGAUGUUGCAUGGGUUGGAAGCAGGGGCUUACCUUGUCCUACUUAUGUUCCCUCUUCGGGUUCACCUCAUCCUCCAUGGAGGUGCAUAGACCUUGGGCCUUGUGUCGGUUCACCUGGCACCCUGGAGGCGGUCUCCGGUGUCUGGAGUGUAGCCAGAGUGGGAGUCAGCCCGGUAGGUGUCGGAGGAUGUUGCCUCCUCUGGAGCUUAGCACAAAAGUCGUCAAACAGUUGGUCCAGUUUGUCCAAGGUGGAGGACGCUUGGUAUCCAGUGUCGGGUAAGUAGCUGCCAUCCGCCAUUACACGUGGGGUGCUUCUUUUGC
This is a non-coding RNA of Pelobates cultripes (western spadefoot toad), 796 nucleotides long. The record is from the annotation of a GenBank genome assembly. Lineage: Eukaryota; Metazoa; Chordata; Amphibia; Anura; Pelobatidae.